AACGAACGCUGGCGGCGUGCCUAACACAUGCAAGUCGAGCGGGAAAAUUCCCUUCGGGGAGUGAGUACAGCGGCGAACGGGUGAGUAACACGUAGGUAACCUACCCUGGAGACUGGGAUAACCUGCCGAAAGGCGGGCUAAUACUAGAUAAGACCACGAGAGCCACGGCUCUUGAGGUAAAAGGUGGCCUCUACUUGUACGCUACCACUCUGGGAUGGGCCUGCGCGCCAUUAGCUAGUUGGUGAGGUAACGGCUCACCAAGGCUGAGAUGGCUAGCUGGUCUGAGAGGAUGGCCAGCCACACUGGGACUGAGACACGGCCCAG
This 324-nucleotide ribosomal RNA is filed under the name uncultured bacterium. RNAcentral's name for it is "bacterial SSU rRNA". It matches the Rfam family "Bacterial small subunit ribosomal RNA", at positions 29 to 334 of the family's 1533-position model. The record is from RNAcentral.